UACGUAGGCAGCAAGCGUUGUUCGGAAUUACUGGGCGUAAAGAGUGCGUAGGCGGUCUUUUAAGUUUGGUGUGAAAUCUCCCGGCUCAACUGGGAGGGUGCGCCGAAAACUGGGAGGCUUGAGGAUGGGAGAGGCAUGCGGAAUUCCUGGUGUAGCGGUGAAAUGCGUAGAUAUCAGGAGGAACACCUGCGGUGUAGACAGCAUGCUGGACCAUUUCUGACGCUGAGGCACGAAAGCGUGGGUAGCAAACAGG
RNAcentral lists this ribosomal RNA (253 nucleotides) under uncultured bacterium. RNAcentral's name for it is "partial 16S ribosomal RNA". It matches the Rfam family "Bacterial small subunit ribosomal RNA", at positions 524 to 776 of the family's 1533-position model. The record is from RNAcentral.